Long non-coding RNA from Heterocephalus glaber (naked mole-rat), 654 nucleotides. NCBI's taxonomy places the organism in Eukaryota, Metazoa, Chordata, Mammalia, Rodentia, Bathyergidae. The record is from Ensembl.
CGCAGAACCCUGGGUUCAUUUGACUACAGCUGGGACCCAGCCUAGGGAGAGGAUUCAAAUUGAGCCUGAUUCCUGGGACCGUUUGCAAUACCACCUGUCUUCGGUCGGGGUUCCCUGGACUCCGAGUUGGCGUCUAUGUGCAGGAGGAUCAUUGGGGUGUGCGCUUGUGAACCCAGCUGGACGGAGUGCUGAAGUCAGCGCUGGGUAGAGAGAUGUGGAGCUGUGAGCAGUUUGCGGUAGAGAUCUCUUGAUCCCGCGGGGACUGAGGAGAAGUGAAGGAAGGGGCACGGACUGUUACACCCUCUUAUUGACUCGUCGUUAAGUGUGGCAGGCGAAGACUCUGGCGAGGGCAGGUCUUUUGGCCAAAAGCCAGAUACAGAGAGGGACUCAACUGUGAGCCCAAGCAAACAGGAGCACCUCAGCAGCUGCCCUUGUCCUGGAGCGGGGAUCUGCAGGACCUUUCCAUUUCGUAACAUCAGGUAAGCAUCCACCAGGUUCUGCAACGUAAAUUUCAACUGCUGAAGAAAGUGACCAGGGUGCGUUCUUUCUUGUCAUUAUUCAAAAUUCGCAAUCAUGCGCUCGCUUCGGCAGCACAUAUACCAAAAUUCGCAAUCAUGACCUGUUGAUCCACAGUCUUAUGUCCCACCACACUGA